CAGGCCUAACACAUGCAAGUCGAGCGGACCAUUCCUUCGGGGAUGGUUAGCGGCGGACGGGUGAGUAACACGUAGGCAACCUGCCUGUAAGAUCGGGAUAACUACCGGAAACGGUAGCUAAGACCGGAUAGCUGGUUUCCCCGCAUGGGGGAAUCAUGAAACACGGGGCAACCUGUGGCUUACGGAUGGGCCUGCGGCGCAUUAGCUAGUUGGUGGGGUAACGGCCCACCAAGGCGACGAUGCGUAGCCGACCUGAGAGGGUGAUCGGCCACACUGGGACUGAGACACGGCCCAGACUCCUACGGGAGGCAGCAGUAGGGAAUCUUCCGCAAUGGGCGCAAGCCUGACGGAGCAACGCCGCGUGAGUGAUGAAGGUUUUCGGAUCGUAAAGCUCUGUUGCCAAGGAAGAACGCCUCGGAGAGUAACUGCUCUGAGGGUGACGGUACUUGAGAAGAAAGCCCCGGCUAACUACGUGCCAACAGCCGCGGUAAUACGUAGGGGGCAAGCGUUGUCCGGAAUUAUUGGGCGUAAAGCGCGCGCAGGCGGUCUUUUAAGUUUGGUGUUUAAGCCCGGGGCUCAACCCCGGUUCGCACUGAAAACUGGGAGACUUGAGUGCAGGAGAGGAAAGCGGAAUUCCACGUGUAGCGGUGAAAUGCGUAGAGAUGUGGAGGAACACCAGUGGCGAAGGCGGCUUUCUGGACUGUAACUGACGCUGAGGCGCGAAAGCGUGGGGAGCAAACAGGAUUAGAU
This 750-nucleotide ribosomal RNA is filed under the name uncultured bacterium. RNAcentral describes it as "bacterial SSU rRNA". It matches the Rfam family "Bacterial small subunit ribosomal RNA", at positions 43 to 783 of the family's 1533-position model. The record is from RNAcentral.